UGUCUUUUUGAAAAUAAUAUAAAGUCUAAUCUGCCCACUGAUUUUAUAUUAAAGGGCUGCAGUAUUUUGACUGUACAAAGGUAGCAUAAUCAUUAGUCAUUUAAUUGAUGACUUGUAUGAAAGAUUGGAUGAAAUAUAAACUGUCUCUUAAUUAUUAAUAUAAAACUUAAUUUUUUAAUUAAAAAGUUAAAAUAAUUUAAAAAGACGAGAAGACCCUAUAGAGUUUCAUAUUUAAAUUAAUUAAGAUUAUUUAAAAUUUAAAAUUAAAAUUAACUUAUUUAUUAUAUUGGGGUGAUAGAAAAAUAUAUAUAACUUUUUUUAUAUAAAAACAUUUAUAAGUGAUUAAAUGAUCCAAUAAUAUUGAUUAUAAGAAAAAAUUACCUUAGGGAUAACAGCGUAAUUUUUUUUUUUAGUUCAUAUAAAAAAAAGAGUUUGCGACCUCGAUGUUGGAUUAAGAUAAAAUUUAAAUGUAGAAG
This 476-nucleotide ribosomal RNA is filed under the name Busseola sp. BUOUG2548. Its description in RNAcentral is "partial 16S large subunit ribosomal RNA". The record is from RNAcentral. Lineage: Eukaryota; Metazoa; Arthropoda; Insecta; Lepidoptera; Noctuidae.